CUACGGGAGGCAGCAGUGGGGAAUAUUGGACAAUGGGGGCAACCCUGAUCCAGCAAUGCCGCGUGUGUGAAGAAGGUCUUCGGAUUGUAAAGCACUUUCACUAGGGAAGAUGAUGACGGUACCUAGAGAAGAAGCCCCGGCUAACUUCGUGCCAGCAGCCGCGGUAAUACGAAGGGGGCUAGCGUUGCUCGGAAUGACUGGGCGUAAAGGGCGCGUAGGCUGUUUGUACAGUCAGAUGUGAAAUCCCCGGGCUUAACCUGGGAACUGCAUUUGAUACGUGCAGACUAGAGUCCGAGAGAGGGUUGUGGAAUUCCCAGUGUAGAGGUGAAAUUCGUAGAUAUUGGGAAGAACACCGGUUGCGAAGGCGGCAACCUGGCUCGGAACUGACGCUGANGCGCGAAAGCGUGGGGAGCGAACAGGAUUAGAUACCCUGGUAGUCCACGCUGUAAACGAUGUGUGCUGGAUGUUGGGUGAUUUUAUCAUUCAGUGUCGGAGCUAACGCGUUAAGCACACCGCCUGGGGAGUACGGCCNCNAGGUUNAAACUCAAAGGAAUUGACGGGGGCCNNCACNAANGGUG
RNAcentral lists this ribosomal RNA (578 nucleotides) under Acetobacteraceae bacterium CP12. RNAcentral describes it as "bacterial SSU rRNA". It matches the Rfam family "Bacterial small subunit ribosomal RNA", at positions 339 to 934 of the family's 1533-position model. The record is from RNAcentral. Lineage: Bacteria; Pseudomonadati; Pseudomonadota; Alphaproteobacteria; Acetobacterales; Acetobacteraceae.